RNAcentral lists this unclassified non-coding RNA (202 nucleotides) under uncultured fungus. RNAcentral's name for it is "sequence contains ITS1, 5.8S rRNA gene". Lineage: Eukaryota; Fungi. The record is from RNAcentral.
UUGAAUACUAUUGAGCGCUGUGCUGGCCUUUCGGGGCAUGUGCACGCGUUCUUUAUUAUAUCUAUCUCUUGUGAACCUAGUGUGGGCUUUGGAGGAACAGUUGGUCUUUGUGCCUUCUGGGAUUCUGAAGACCAUUUUUAUAAACAUUGAAAAAGUUAACAGAAUGUCUUCUUUUUGCUUCGGCAAAAAAAAAAAACCUAUA